This 497-nucleotide ribosomal RNA is filed under the name uncultured bacterium. RNAcentral describes it as "partial 16S ribosomal RNA". It matches the Rfam family "Bacterial small subunit ribosomal RNA", at positions 28 to 507 of the family's 1533-position model. The record is from RNAcentral.
GAUGAACGCUGGCGGCGUGCCUAAUACAUGCAAGUCGAGCGAACAGACGAGGAGCUUGCUCCUCUGACGUUAGCGGCGGACGGGUGAGUAACACGUGGAUAACCUACCUAUAAGACUGGGAUAACUUCGGGAAACCGGAGCUAAUACCGGAUCAUAUAUUGAACCGCAUGGUUCAAUAGUGAAAGACGGUUUUGCUGUCACUUAUAGAUGGUUCCGCGCCGCAUUAGCUAGUUGGUAAGGUAACGGCUUACCAAGGCAACGAUGCGUAGCCGACCUGAGAGGGUGAUCGGCCACACUGGAACUGAGACACGGUCCAGUCUCCUACGGGAGGCAGCAGUAGGGAAUCUUCCGCAAUGGGCGAAAGCCUGACGGAGCAACGCCGCGUGAGUGAUGAAGGUCUUCGGAUCGUAAAACUCUGUUAUUAGGGAAGAACAAAUGUGUAAGUAACUAUGCACGUCUUGACGGUACCUAAUCAGAAAGCCACGGCUAACUACGUG